Molecule: non-coding RNA, 72 nt
Organism: Phrynosoma platyrhinos (Desert horned lizard)
Lineage: Eukaryota; Metazoa; Chordata; Lepidosauria; Squamata; Phrynosomatidae
Source: the annotation of a GenBank genome assembly
GUAAGUGUGGCGCAGUGGUUUGGGUGUUGGACUAUGAUUCUAGAGACCAAGGUUCAAUUCCCAGCUUGGUCA